This is a non-coding RNA of Biomphalaria pfeifferi, 708 nucleotides long. The record is from the annotation of a GenBank genome assembly. NCBI's taxonomy places the organism in Eukaryota, Metazoa, Mollusca, Gastropoda, Planorbidae.
UUCCUACUAUGUUCUUUAUUUGCACCAAUUUAUAAUGACCAGUAAAUUAUUUACAAUUUCUUUUUUAAUUCUCAACAUUACUAGUAAAAUGGAAUGACAAAAAAAAAUAAUCACAGUCAAUUAAAUUUUUUUGGUCAGGCUAUAUCAUUCAACAAUAAAUACUUUCUAAAAAAAAAACUAAAAAGAAGCACAUAUAAUACAAACAGUUAACAAACAUUCACUGAGCUACCCUUACUCCAAACAAAGAUGAUGCUAGAAGACACUGGUCCUGUAAAAGAGCUAAACAUUUAAGGAAAUACAUAUAUUGUAUACUGGCAAAUGAGCAAUUAGUUGAGAUCAUUGCUGCAUUAGUUUGAUACUUUUGUUAAGUGUUACUUGUGGAAAGGGUAUAAUAGUCAAAAGGUGACAUUUAGCCCUUGAAAACAGUACAAUCAAUUCAUUAGUUUUUUUAUUUUUGAUGUGGUACCUAGAGAACAUAUUUUAUAGGUAAACACUAUCAGUUCACACCAAUUCCAAACAUGCUGCAUACAUAUUACAUAUAUAAAGGCAGCUUAAAGAACCAAAUUUUUAAUGAGAGUAAAUGGUGAAAUAAGGGACAGUAUAUAUGAAACAUAUAACCAAAACAUCAAUAAGAGUACCUGCCAAGAAUAUAUUAAAAAGUCAGUAAAAACAAUAAAAAGUAAUAUAUAUAUAUAUAUAUAUAUAUAU